AUUGAACGCUGGCGGCAGGCCUAACACAUGCAAGUCGGGCGGAUGAAGGGAUCUUGCUCCUGGAUUCAGCGUCGGACGGGUGAGUAAUUCCUAUGAAUCUGCCUGGUUUUGGUGUAUAACGUCCUGAAACGGGCGCUAAUACCGCAUACGUCCUGUUGUUGAAAUUGUGUGUUCUUCGGACCUCUCGCUCUCUUAUUAGCCUAGGUCGGAUUAGCUAGUUGGUGUGGUAAAGUCCUACCAAGGCGACGAUCCGUAACUGGUCUGAGAGGAUGAUCAGUGACACUGGAAGUGAGACACGGUCCAGAGGACUACGGGAGGCAGCAGUGGGGAAUAUUGGACAAUGGGCGAAAGGAUGAUAGAGAAAAGGCGCGUGUGUGAAGAAGGUCUUAGGAUUGUAAAGAACGUUAAGUUGGGAGGAAGGGAAGUAAGUUAAUACGUUGAUGUUGUGACGGUAACAACAGAAUAAGGACCGGCUAACUACGUG
Molecule: ribosomal RNA, 484 nt
Filed under: uncultured bacterium
Lineage: Bacteria
Description: partial 16S ribosomal RNA
Rfam family: Bacterial small subunit ribosomal RNA
Source: RNAcentral